This 564-nucleotide ribosomal RNA is filed under the name uncultured Lachnospiraceae bacterium. Its description in RNAcentral is "bacterial SSU rRNA". It matches the Rfam family "Bacterial small subunit ribosomal RNA", at positions 62 to 636 of the family's 1533-position model. The record is from RNAcentral. Lineage: Bacteria; Bacillati; Bacillota; Clostridia; Lachnospirales; Lachnospiraceae.
CCUUAUUUGAUUUUCUUCGGAACUGAAGAUUUGGUGAUUGAGUGGCGGACGGGUGAGUAACGCGUGGGUAACCUGCCCUGUACAGGGGGAUAACAGUCAGAAAUGACUGCUAAUACCGCAUAAGACCACAGCACCGCAUGGUGCAGGGGUAAAAACUCCGGUGGUACAGGAUGGACCCGCGUCUGAUUAGCUGGUUGGUGAGGUAACGGCUCACCAAGGCGACGAUCAGUAGCCGGCUUGAGAGAGUGAACGGCCACAUUGGGACUGAGACACGGCCCAAACUCCUACGGGAGGCAGCAGUGGGGAAUAUUGCACAAUGGGGGAAACCCUGAUGCAGCGACGCCGCGUGAGUGAAGAAGUAUCUCGGUAUGUAAAGCUCUAUCAGCAGGGAAGAAAAUGACGGUACCUGACUAAGAAGCCCCGGCUAACUACGUGCCAGCAGCCGCGGUAAUACGUAGGGGGCAAGCGUUAUCCGGAAUUACUGGGUGUAAAGGGUGCGUAGGUGGUAUGGCAAGUCAGAAGUGAAAACCCAGGGCUUAACUCUGGGACUGCUUUUGAAACUGU